This 538-nucleotide ribosomal RNA is filed under the name uncultured bacterium. RNAcentral describes it as "bacterial SSU rRNA". It matches the Rfam family "Bacterial small subunit ribosomal RNA", at positions 777 to 1302 of the family's 1533-position model. The record is from RNAcentral.
ACUAAAUAGAACCCGGGUAGUCCUAGCCGUAAACGAUGAGCACUGGACCCGGAGCUCUGCACGAGGGUUUCGGUCGUAGACGAAAAGUGUUAAAGUGCUCCGCCGUGGGGAGUAUGGUCGCAAGGCUGAAACUCAAAGAAAUUGACGGGGGCUCACACAAGCGGUGGAGGAUGUGGCUUAAUUCGAGGCUACGCGAAGAACCUUAUCCUAGUCUUGACAUGUUUAGGAAUCUCCCUGGAAGGGGAGAGUGCUCGCAAGAGAGCCUUUACACAGGUGCUGCAUGGCUGUCGUCAGCUCGUGUCGUGAGAUGUCGGGUUAAGUCCCUUAACGAGCGAAACCCUUGUCCUUAGUUACCAGCGAGUAAAGUCGGGGACUCUAAGGAGACUGCCGGUGUUAAACCGGAGGAAGGUGGGGAUGACGUCAAGUCCUCAUGGCCUUUAUGACUAGGGCUGCACACGUCCUACAAUGGCGCGCACAAAGCGAUGCAAACUCGCGAGAGCCAGCAAAUCGCAAAAAUCGCGCCUCAGUUCGGAUUGCA